RNAcentral lists this long non-coding RNA (3312 nucleotides) under Canis lupus familiaris (dog). Its description in RNAcentral is "lncRNA (ENSCAFG00040001936.1)". The record is from RNAcentral. Lineage: Eukaryota; Metazoa; Chordata; Mammalia; Carnivora; Canidae.
CUAACCCACUGCUCCCUCUUCUCCGGGCAUUUGGUGUGGUGGUGGCAGUUGUGGCAGCAAAAGGCGGCGGUGGCGGUGCCUGUGAGACCCCAUUCUGCCCACCCGUGUGUACAAACAGGGUUCCUGCGCUCAGGGUGGCCUCUGCUGUGGUGACCCAGUUCUGGGCGACCUCACAUCCUCCAUCACGACGCUGGGAAAAGUGAGCGUGCUCCACAUUUACUGUUAGAUAUUUGGAGGGUCUUGCCCCACAAAGUCCAACCGCUGUGACAUGGUCUACACUCCGCUCCUUGCCCUACAGGGACCCUGUCUUCGUGCUCAGAGAUUGUACAGCAGGGGAGGCUGCAGAUGCCCCGCUCAGAAUGACCCGCACUUUGCACAUUUCACAAUUCGGUACAUACACCUGUCACACUGCUGCAAAUUGCCAGCUUGCAUUCUUACGUUCUUCCUUUGGUUGCAUUUGCUAAUAUAAAAAUUUUCCUGAUGUUUUAUUUAUGGAACUCCAUAAGGUAGCUGGAGGCCAGAGCUGUACCUCCCUAAUCCUUGGUUGGUUUCUUUUUUGAGUCCAGGUAGACAAUCCAAGAUGAUCAGUAGGAGGCUAUUGUCCUCAACUGCAGGCUGUCCUCUUGGUGCAUGGGGGCUGCUCUAGCUCCCCCCAUAGCAUUUCUAUCCCAGCCAACAGAAAGAGGGGAAGGGGAAAGCAGGUGGCGGGGGCCUUGCCGUUAAUGGGACAACCUGAAAGUUGUGGGAAUCCCUUCUUCCAGCCAUUUGGCCCUAACUUAGCCAUGUGGUUACAAGCAGGUGGAAGAAAGCUGGGGAAAAGCCCUUCCCUGGCUGUCCGGGUCACCUCCCUGUGGAAACGGUGAAGCACAGUAACUCUGUUACUAGGUAAGGAGGGAGCAGGGGUGCCGGGAAAGGAACUUCAGGGGAGUGAGGACCUUUGGAUGCUUACCAGGAGGCAGGAGGCAGGGCUCAGGGAGAGGCUGGAUGUCAGCUGAGGCCCCAGCUGAGGCCAGAGGCCGGCCAGGGAGGCAGGCCAGGCUGCAGCUUCCCUCCCUGCAUCCCACCCAGGAGCCCACCGUGGGUGCUGGUCCAUCCACACUUUCAGGGCACUGUGUUUGGAAAGAGGGUUACUAGAUUGCAUAAGGGAUUUUCAUUCCUCUGCUGCCUUUUGAGAGACAACUGGGUUCCUGAGUCCAACCUGACCCUGCGGGGAUCCCUCUCCGGAGCCUGGCCUGCAGGACUGCGGCCGGCUCCUCGGCGGGGCGCUGCCGUCCCCUGGUGGCCACAAGCAGCGCGCGCAGGCUCCGACUGCUCCCAGCAUCUCCCGGGGGGUGCAGCGAGCCUGCGUGGGGCACUUCAAGGUCACGCUCAAACACAAACGGACGAAGUGGGAAACAAUGGUGUUGGAACAAGGUGGGAAUCGAAGAAAGUUCUCCAGCGAAAGAACCUGACUGUGCGGCGCAUGCACGUUGGAAGCACCCCUCGCCCCCAAACCUGCACCCAAAGUAAGAAACCAGCUUUAGGAUGUCAAAGGAUGGAAAACAUGGGAUAGCAUGUUAGCAAAACAUGGGGAUAGACUUCCUGGUUUAGGAAAUAAACGAAAGGAAAAGUAUCAAAUUGGGCAAUGAGGAAUCUAGGAGUUAAAAUGAGCAUUCUUAUGGGAAAGAGGCAUAUAAUAAAAAAGGAGAUUCUAGAUGGUCUCAUUUCACCCUUUAACUGGAGAUAUAAAAAAAUAUAAGUGCCUUCAGAUUUUGCAUUUUUAAUGGAGAAAUUUUAUUUGUAGUGAAUAAAUCUAUUCUAUAGGAAGAACCCAACAUACAAAAUAUACAAUAUACAAAAUGAGUCUUUUACUGUAACUUCUAGAAUUGGUAUAAAAUUCUCACGUGGGGCAUCUGGGUGGCUCAGGGGUUUAGCGCCUACCUUUGGCCCAGGGCGUGAUCCCGGGGUCCUGGGAUCGAGUCCCACAUCGGGCUCCCUGCAUGGAGUUGCUUCUCCCUCUGCCUGUCUCUGCCUCUGUGUCUCUCAUGAAUGAAUAAAUUCCUUAAAACCCCUCAUGAUAAUUAUUAAAUUUAAAUCAGAUUGCAGCAUUGCUACAAUUUUCUAAAUUGUCUUUAAUUUCAUAUAAUAGUAGACUGGCUCUUAUUUACUUAUUUUUUUGCUACAUGACUACUUUUAUUUUGGUUUUCAGGAGUUUGCUUGUUUGUUUUGGUCAUAGUAUACACAUGUGUCUAUAAAUGUGCACAUAUUUUAUAAAUGAUUUUGAAAAUACAGUAUCUAUCUAUCUACAUGUACUUUAUACAUUUUAGGACAGUUUUUAGCGUGUUCUAAAGUAAUAAGAAUACAUUUGUUUGAAGAUUUUAUUUAUUUAUUUAUUUAUUUAUUUAUUUAUUUAUUUAUUUAUUUAUUUAUGAGAGACAGAGAGAGAGAGAGAGAGAGGCAGAGACCCAGGCAGAGGGAGAAGCAGGCUCCCUGUAGGGAGCCUGAUGCGGGGCUCGAUCCCAGGACCUGGGGAUCAGGACCUGAGCCAAAGGCAGAGAUGCUCAACCGCUGAGCCACCCAGCUGUCCCAAGAAUAUGUUUUUUAAAAAGAAGACGUUAUAAUCUCCUACUCAUCAAAAAUUAAUUCUAAAAUCAAACACUCAUUUUCUUAGCUUUCUACAUUCUGGGUCUAUCUGCUUUGUUUCCCCCUAAGUAUUAGGACUGCAGGGGAGCAGCAUGGCAUUUGGGUGGGUCAGCAUGCAUGGAGAAUCAUUACGGCUUCUGGUCUGUGCGGAGUGACGGGAGGUGCACAGGGGUCCUCCCUGGAGACCCCUUGUCAAAGGUUGCCAGUGCCACGGAGGGGGGAGCUCAAGACUGUAGCCUCACCUUUGGGAAGAGCCUCUCAAUGGAGGCGUCCCUCAGUCACGUGGAGCGAGUCACACAGUAACCACCACCGGAUCCGGGAGCCGGGGCUCUGGGGUCCCAACUAUGGAAAUGUGUGUGGCCCUGAGAACUAUGUCCUCAGCUGUUGGUCCCUUCCUAUCCAAGUCCUCGGUUGGCUACGGGUGAUCUCUCACUGCGGCAUAGACACCGCACACCUCACUGCCUUCAGCCUGUGACUCUGUUGUAACCAGACCUACUGGGUACCAGUGUGUCCCCCAUCCUGGGAGACCUGGGAGCCAGCUCCCACUGGCUGGCCCACCCCCGGGGCUCCAGUGUGGACAAGAAAUUAGCUAUGUUUGAGCCCACCUGCCUUCUACCGUUACCAUCGCAGGGCCGAGCCCGUCUACGCGGGGCAUCACCUGGGCCUGGCGGGUCUCCUCCUGCGAAGGAU